Molecule: ribosomal RNA, 354 nt
Filed under: Epulopiscium sp. Nele67-Bin004
Lineage: Bacteria; Bacillati; Bacillota; Clostridia; Lachnospirales; Lachnospiraceae
Description: bacterial SSU rRNA
Rfam family: Bacterial small subunit ribosomal RNA
Source: RNAcentral
UUUUUAAUGAGAGUUUGAUCCUGGCUCAGGAUGAACGCUGGCGGCGUGCUUAACACAUGCAAGUCGAACGGACUACUUCGGUAGUUAGUGGCGGACGGGUGAGUAACGCGUGGGUAACUUGCCCUGUGCAGGGGAAUAACGUUUGGAAACAAACGCUAAUACCGCAUAAGCUAACAGUAUCGCAUGAUACAGCUAGAAAAGAUUUAUCGGCACAGGAUAGACCCGCGUUGGAUUAGCUAGUUGGUGAGAUAACAGCUCACCAAGGCGACGAUCCAUAGCCGGCCUGAGAGGGUGAACGGCCACACUGGGACUGAGACACGGCCCAGACUCCUACGGGAGGCAGCAGUGGGGAAU